Molecule: ribosomal RNA, 242 nt
Filed under: uncultured bacterium
Lineage: Bacteria
Description: partial 16S ribosomal RNA
Rfam family: Bacterial small subunit ribosomal RNA
Source: RNAcentral
GAUCCUGGCUCAGGAUGAACGCUGGCGGCGUGCCUAACACAUGCAAGUCGAACGGAACUAUUUUGGAAACUCCUUCGGGAGCGGAAUCUUUAGUUUUAGUGGCGGACGGGUGAGUAACGCGUGAGCAAUCUGCCUUUAAGAGGGGGAGUAACAGUCGGAAACGGCUGCUAAUACCGCAUAAAGCAAUGAAUUCGCAUGUUUUCAUUGCCAAAGGAGCAAUCCGCUUUUAGAUGAGCUCGCGU